This is a long non-coding RNA of Parus major (Great Tit), 5276 nucleotides long. RefSeq lists it as uncharacterized. NCBI's taxonomy places the organism in Eukaryota, Metazoa, Chordata, Aves, Passeriformes, Paridae. The transcript has 2 exons. The record is from RefSeq and is a predicted model, not a curated record.
ACUGCAAGGGCAAAAGGAGGGCUGUGAGGUGCAGGAGGAUCCCAGUGCCACCUCCUGAGGUGCCCAGCCCUCCUUCCCUCCACCAGCACCACUCUCCCAAAAUUAAAUUUUUACUUUGGGAAGGACUGAAAAGGGAGAUUUCAGGGAAGAGCUCUCUCAGCCUUCAAACUUGGUACUACACGUGCUGCUCUGGCUGGAAAGUUUUUGGGAUCUGUCUUUUGGGCAUGACUCAAGAGGACUUCAAGUCCCCUUGUUCUAUCCCAAAUCCUGUUGAGAAAUCCAAGCGAGACACAGAUGAAGCAGUUUCCAUUUCUGAAGAUGCUCUUUUGGAUGCCAAAUAAGAAGUUCAUCUCUUUGUGGAAUCUCCCUUCAUUUAGAAAUCAGAAUGAGAGGGGUUGUUCCUGCACAACCUGCUCCACUGAGAAGUGGGGGUAACUGGGGGAAUACUGAGUUCCCUCUGAUUUUUCCCAGUCCCUGCUACCCCCAGGAGCACAUUUCUUUGGUUAAUGCCUCCCACUGACACACUGCAGCACCAGCAGCACCAGUACCGCUAGCGUUUGCAGAUAAUGGCAUUAAAACUUUAACAAAAUGUUCCAGGGGGUUUCUCCAGUUUGUUGGUGCUUCGGCAGCAUCUGCUGCACCAGUGCAGGGUUUCCUGCUUUUGCAGGGGUUGUUCCACUGCGAAAGGAUCCAGGUGUGCGUCAAAUCUGUGCUUCACUGGCAGAUGUGGUCAUUUCUGAAAAGGAGCCUGCCAAGAGCCACACGAUUGUUUGCUGAGCUGGAAAGAGUCACCUCCAAGCACAUUAAUCUGAGUCAUUUGUUUCUUCCCAAACAUGAUGCUGCCUCCUCAGAGCAAGGGACCAGUUUGUUUCCUGCUGUGGUUGCUGCAGCAGCAGAGUAGCAACUGGUACCGUUUUUGGGAACAACUUGUGCAUUGUUAAGGCCCCAGCAGCCCUGGGGAUGUAGCUGAGGUCUCAGGGGCCAGGCACAGCAGAAACCUUCAACAGAAGAUUCACUGGCUUCAAAGAUGUGAUACAUGACAGCAGCAGACAGGACAAAGAAAUCAAAGCUCUCUGGCCCCAAAGAGAUGUUCUGCUUUGUGCUUGGCUUUCAGCCUUUGUAGAAACCAUCCUUUCUCUAACUCAAAGUUAAGUCUGAAGCUCCUGAGCUGCUGCAGAUACAACAGAGCCUAAUAAAGUCCAGAAGCCAAGGGCUGGGCCAGGGCAGCCCCAUAAGGAAUACCUCACCCAACUCCUGAUAGGGAGUCAGACUUUAUCCCAUCCCUCUCUCCCUUCCAAAGUAACGACAGCUGCUGGCCCUGAGCUGGAUGACUGGAAACCAGGGGUCUGAGAGCUGCAAAAAGGAACUAAAAAAAGCCAACAAGCCAAAGGCAUCAGGCCUGAAAACUCCUCCUGGAAUUCCAGUGCUGCUUUUACUACUGACAUAGAAAAGUGAGUGUUGCAAUUCUCACACCUGCUGAGAUGUCAAAGAUCUGAAUUGGGAAUAUUUUUGGAAGAUGAUGAAAAGCUGGAACAGCAGCAGGCAGAGGAGGAAGCCUGAAUGAUGUACAGUGAUGUGACCCAACAGCAGUGCAAGGGACCUGGGACAAGCCAUCCUUGAGCUGACCAUGCCCAGCCAUUUUGGAGCUCAGGCAACACCUUCCUGGGCUGGCAAGAGCCUGCUGCAGAUAUGAGGGGGAGAUAAAUACAUCCUUGAAAAGUCUUUAUCUCUACUCAGAGAGUGUGUGCCACUGGUAUUGCUGGGGGUGGUUAUAAGGCCAUGAGAAUCAAGUGCACUGCCAUGAUUUUAGGGCAGUGGAUGGGCUGGGAUUGCACCAGGAGGGCUGAGAGGAGAAAACCACCAGUUUGGUCCUUCAGAUGCAGAUUAUACUCUCCUCACAGCAGUGGGAUUUCCUAACAGGGUUACAGGGCAUGUAGAACUUCAGAGCCCUCCUGAGACAAUUUGGGUUGUGUUAAAGCCUUUCCUGUGAACUAUUAAGUUUCAUCAGGCUACUAGCAGUGUUUAUGUGGAUGGAAGGGAAUGUGGUGGCUUCUUUCAGAUCACUUCCCUGGGAGGUGGAAAGUUGCGAGCAGCCUGCUCCAGCCAUGCCCCACUCACAGGGAUCAUUCCAGAGGAUUGGAGUGGAGCAGAUUUGGAGCUGCACAGCUCAGCUGAGACGCUGUGGGCUGCCAAAGGAGGAAGCAGUGACACUCAGUGGGUGGCGUCUCUGCAGACCCCUGGUCAUUUCCCCUUGGGGAAGGACAGGUUGAGACCCCCUGCGAUUGCCUCUCUCUUCCUGAAGCAUUCAGGUUUCAUCUGGAGGCCCGUAUUUUGUGACUGCAGAGCCAAAGGCAUCCUGAAAACCCCUUCUGAAAUUCCAGAGCUGCCUCUACUAUUAUUGCCAUAACAGAGUUAUCUCCCCACCAUGAGCAGAGACAGCAGGUGGUUCUGCUUUUAUGUAGAUGUGAAAAAGGAAGGCAGGAAACAUUAAUUGAGGGUUCAAGCAAAAAGGUGUCCACUAAACUUCCAUUUCAGUGAUGCACCAAUUUGCAAUGCUCUGUAAGCAGCUGGAAACACCUUUCAGCUCCUCCUGGUCCAGGCACCACCACACUCCAAGCACACAGGUAAACCUGCUCAUUACAAGUACCCACGGUGCUCUGCAGAGGAAUAUGCUGCUUAUCCAGGCCCUGGCUUUCAUUUCAACAAGGGAUCUUAUUGUUGCACUUGAUCUUGGUGCCUGUUGCACAAACAAAUGCUUUAAAUGGCCCUUCACUGAAACACGAAGAAGUACCGAUCGAAAAAGAAAGCUAAGGAAAAAUACAGCUUCCUCUGGAUUCUGAAGGUUUGAUUGAAGAUAAGAUCUGGGGCAAACUUAAUGGUCAAACUGGAGUGCUGUCAAAGACACAGAUUUAAUCCUGGGAGUGAUGUGGGAGUUCCUUGGUCAGACAAGGUUUCAGCUCAGUGUGACUCCAGCUGGGGUUGGCAGAGCUGCCAGGAGAGCCAUCAGUGCCUUCAGGCUAUGGGAGAAAGUAUUUAAACAACAACUCACUUACACAAAGAAUCCCAGGAUCCCUUCUUCCUUAAAUAUCCUGCCAAUGGCACUGAACACACCGCUGCCAAGAAAGGAAAAGAGCUGUGAGUGUGCAGAGUUGUUUCACCUCUGUCCUGUGCAACUUCACACACAUCCUGCAGCCCUCAGCAAUGGCAGUGCCUCCCCAGCCAUCAUUCCAGCAGAAGGCAGCUUGUUCUGCUUAUUCUCCUCAGACCAGGCAGAUCUGAGGGAAGGAAGGUCAUGUCUGUACUCUGCCAGUCUGCAGUGACACCUGGGAAAACACCCAACCUGCACACAACUGUUCAAUGCUGAAGGAGCACCUGGCACCCCUGACCCCAGACCCUUCCAAGCUGCAGCCACUCACCUGUAUUUGACUUCCCGGCCUACGAACUGGACCAUGCAGCGCAUGGAGAUCACUGGGAGGAAAGAAACACAGGGCUGAUACAGAAACAAAUCCAGUUUGGGUUGUAAUGGAUGUGAAAGAAAAUGAAACAUGACUCUUCUGCUCUCCCUCAACUCACAGCAUCUCCAGCUCCUCUCAGUGUGGUCAUCAGCACUGCAAGACUCAUUAGAAACUGGGGCCUUUCCUGAGCCUGUAAGUGGUGGGAAGGAUUUCAGAGGAUCACAGAGGUAUGGGUUGGAAGGGACCUGAUAGAUCAUCUUUUUCCAAACCCCCUGGCAUGGGCAGGGACACCUUCCACUCUCCCAGCCUGCUCCACCCUGGCCUUAAACACUUCCAGGGAUGGAGCGGCCACAGCUUCUCUGAGCAACCUGUGUUGGGGCAUCACCACCCUCACAAGGAAGGAUUUCUUCCCAAUAUCCCAUCUCACCCAGCUCUCUGGCAGAGGGAAGCCAUUCCCUGUGUCCUGUCUCUCCAUUCCCUCAUCCAAAGUCCCUCUCCAGCUCUCUUGGAGCCCCUUUAGGCACUGGAAGGGUGCUACUGGCCCUAACCCCAAUGGGAUUUCUAGGACAAGGUCCUGGAUGAGUGGGAAGAGAGAAACUUGUUGCUCAGCUGUGUUAGUGCCUGAAGGAAAAACCCAGCAUCAGCCUUGUAUGAUGGAGGAGUUUCAGAAGUAUCGUGCCCUGAGUAAGCAGGGUUUGGGGUGAUCCCCAGUCUGGAGGGGCUGCCAGCCAAGGGGACAGGACUCACCAUGCAGCGGGUGUGAGACAACCCGGGACACACACUGCAUCAUCAUCUCAUGGGAUGUCUGCCAAGGGAGGAGAAAACACCUGUGAGAAAAGCUGUGCUGCUCCUCCUGCACAGCCCAGGCCUUUCCCUCACUGUGGGGAAACCCAUUUUGGGUCCCUCUUUUGAGAUGUGAAUUGAGAUGUGAAUUAUUUCAUGGAUGGACACAGAACGGCUUCUUCAAACUUCUCACCCCAGUUUCUCUCCAAGUAACCUCACCCACAUCCCCAGGGACCUCUCCAACCACUUAUUAAUGGACAAUAUCCACUUCUCACCUCUCUGACCACUUUCCUAAGUGAAGUUUUCAUAUCAUCCUUGUUAGACACAUGCUCCAUGUCCUCCAGUGGAAAAGCCUGAGUGGAGAGGGAAGAAACAUGGUCAGAACUGAUGGAGAUGCUGACCCACAAUGUCUGAGGACAGAAGGAAACCAUGAAAAGCCACUUGAUCAAGAUAAACAGGCAACAAAGAACACAGGAGAAGAAAGGAUGGAAAGUAAAAUAGAGGAAUAGAGGAGUCACAAAACUGCUGACAGAGGAUACAAGGCAAGGGGAUGCCAAGUUAAAUUAAAAUUGUUUAUAAAUAAAAAAAUGCUUUGGGGAUAAGGGCACAGGAGGACUAUUCACUUAGGAGAUGGAGAGGGAUGGGUGCAUCAGUGCACCUGAUCCAGUCCCUGGCUGGCUGCAGGCACUUGCUGCAGUAGCAGUGACCCUGCAGGUGAUUAAUGGAGAGAGAAGCCGACCUUUACCUUCUUCACACUCCCCCUGGUGAUGGUUGAUAAAGUGCUUGAGAUGAGGCGAGGAGUCAGGCCACGGAAGAGGCCUCUUUUCCCAUCCACUUCCACAAUGUGUCUGGCUGGGUGGGACAACACCAGGCUGCUGUCAGUUGGGAAGGGGACAAUGCAUGGAGAGCACCCCAAACUGCCCCAGGACUCAGCCAAAAACAUGCCAGGCUCAGCUCAGCACAGCAGCCACUCCAUGGCCCCACAGGAAGUGUUUUAUUGUAACAGUCCUAAAUAAACUUCAUACUGGAGGACAAGAA